GAUAACAAGUCAUUGGGAAGAUGCAAGAAAUAUAUUGAAGAAACCUUUAGUGCUUGCUGAAUUUGGAAAGUCUAGUAGAUCAGGUGAAGGAUCAAGAGAUAUAUUUAUGAGUAGUGUGUAUAGAAAUGUGUAUAAUUUGGCAAAAGAAGGUGGAACAAUGGGAGGAAGUUUAGUAUGGCAACUAAUGGCACAUGGAAUGGAGAAUUAUGAUGAUGGUUAUUGAAGAAAUAGGCAUUACAUGACACAAGGGCAAAUUAGUCAUUACUGUUUAAUCAAGUUGGUUAAAGUUGUUAAGUGUAGUUAGUUAGAAAUUUGUUAGGAAGUUAGUUAGUAAAACAGUAUAUGUACUGCAUCAAGUUACAAUACAAUGUAUUCAGUUU
Molecule: unclassified non-coding RNA, 380 nt
Filed under: Hevea brasiliensis (rubber tree)
Lineage: Eukaryota; Viridiplantae; Streptophyta; Magnoliopsida; Malpighiales; Euphorbiaceae
Source: RNAcentral